RNAcentral lists this ribosomal RNA (506 nucleotides) under uncultured bacterium. Its description in RNAcentral is "partial 16S ribosomal RNA". It matches the Rfam family "Bacterial small subunit ribosomal RNA", at positions 30 to 523 of the family's 1533-position model. The record is from RNAcentral.
AUUGAACGCUGGCGGCAGGCCUAACACAUGCAAGUCGAGCGGCAGCGGAAAGUAGCUUGCUACUUUGCCGGCGAGCGGCGGACGGGUGAGUAAUGUCUGGGAAACUGCCCGAUGGAGGGGGAUAACUACUGGAAACGGUAGCUAAUACCGCAUAACGUCGCAAGACCAAAGAGGGGGACCUUCGGGCCUCUUGCCAUCGGAUGUGCCCAGAUGGGAUUAGCUAGUAGGUGGGGUAACGGCUCACCUAGGCGACGAUCCCUAGCUGGUCUGAGAGGAUGACCAGCCACACUGGAACUGAGACACGGUCCAGACUCCUACGGGAGGCAGCAGUGGGGAAUAUUGCACAAUGGGCGCAAGCCUGAUGCAGCCAUGCCGCGUGUAUGAAGAAGGCCUUCGGGUUGUAAAGUACUUUCAGCGGGGAGGAAGGUGUUGAGGUUAAUAACCUCAGCAAUUGACGUUACCCGCAGAAGAAGCACCGGCUAACUCCGUGCCAGCCGCCGCCGUAA